Molecule: long non-coding RNA, 1723 nt
Filed under: Nicotiana tabacum (common tobacco)
Lineage: Eukaryota; Viridiplantae; Streptophyta; Magnoliopsida; Solanales; Solanaceae
Description: long non-coding RNA (NTAB_LNC008515)
Source: RNAcentral
UUUGUUCCUCUGUUAUUUUUCCCUUCCUUUCCUUCAACGUGAAAGUAGAGGCGGAUCCAGGAUUUGAUGGUUGCGGGUGCCACUGUAUUUAAUGUAAACUUAUCAGUAGUCAAAGAGGUUAAAUUUAUUAGGUAUACAUGUAUUUGGCCAGUUCGCUAUAUUUUAAAUUAAUUUGGUUCGGUUCGGUUCGAUCCAUUUUGAGUUAAUUUGGUUUGCUUUACAAGAUCUUUUGGUGUAUAAAUAAACACAUGAUAAUUAAACUGAAUAUAUUUUAUCCUUUCAAGGAAAAAAUACUAUUAACUACAUAAAAAAGAAAAAUGAUUAAAAACAUAUUCAAAUUAAAAAAAUUGAGAGCUAAACCGAGAAAACAUAGGCAAAUAUACUUUUAUAAUCUAAAGAACUACUAAUAAAAAUGAGAUUGUAUAUAGGGAAAAUAUCAUCACGAAGAUGAAAGAAAUUAAGAAAAAGAGGAGAAAAGAAAACAAUCCGGAAAGAAGGAACACAAAAAGUACUCACAACAUAAGUUAAAGUAGGAUUGAUCCUGGGCAUUGGGCUUGGGAAGGAUUACCUUAACCACGGCACCUACAGCCAUUUUGACACUUUGUGUGCCACAAAUUAUUUAUAUACUUUUUCUACAUGAAAUACUAGUGAAAUACCACUGAGUACAUGAAAUUCUAUCCGAGCGACCGGUGGCGUACCACCCCAUCACCUCUACAUAUAUCUGCCCCUGCGUGAAAGUAGAGUAUAUAUAUGAUAAGUUGAUAGAAGUUAUAAAUGUCAACUUUUAUAGCUUAUAAAAGCUAUUUUGAACCCAUUGCAAUGUCUGACCCAAUUGUCAAAAGCCAACGUUAGAAACUAUGAAUAAUUAGCUAUUCAAGAGUAAUAUCAAAUUUCAGUUACAAAAUCAUUAUUAUGUUUGAAAAUUUAUUCAAAUUGUAAUCAAAUUAAUUACAUAAUGAAGACACAUUAACAUAAUAUUAAAAGAAUGAACCUAGACAUCAAUUUGAAUAUUUCUUUUUGAGUUAUCAAAAUUAUUUUUCUAACAGUAACAAUAGCAUGAUAAGAUAAUAAAAUAACCGACGAGAAAGAAAUCACAUACAGUAAAAGCAAUCAGCGGAUAAGAAAAUAUGAAAAAUACGAGGCUAAUACUAAUACUAUCAGCAUGUUAAAUAGACACGCACACCUACCAAUAUAAUGUAAAAACAUACAGGAAAAUCCAAACAUUUUGAUUUCUUUUGGCACCUCAAUACCUAGACUACAUAUAUGACGAAGCUUUAAUUUUCUAUGACAAUUACAUCAAGAAUUAUUUGUAUCACAAAUAUAUUUCCAAAGAAAGGCAACUCUAUAAAACAGGCAAAGGAACACUCCGGCCAAUAAAUAUAAAUGUGAUUUUUGCCAUCUGGUACAUCGUAAUAGGCAUGGCAGCCAAUAAUUAGCUUGGUUCACCAAUUAGAAGGAGACACACAUAAAGACGUAGAAUUAGGGCAAUUAGACGUAUUUUUUAAUUGAGAUAAGCUUUAACUCAAACAAUUUUAUGAAGAGAUAAGGGAACAAACAUUUACUUUGAUAGAAAAUGAACGAUAUAUAAACUGAUGAAGAUUGUACAAGCAUCAACAUCAAAUUUCAAUAUUUGAAGGCUCUAUAAUUGGAUCUCAUGUCCUUAUUCUUUUAAUUUCCUUUGUUUUCUUUUUGGCCAUUCUCUUGGCUGAAAAGGGAAAACGAA